RNAcentral lists this ribosomal RNA (465 nucleotides) under uncultured bacterium. RNAcentral describes it as "partial 16S ribosomal RNA". It matches the Rfam family "Bacterial small subunit ribosomal RNA", at positions 28 to 507 of the family's 1533-position model. The record is from RNAcentral.
GACGAACGCUGGCGGCGUGCUUAACACAUGCAAGUCGAACGGAAAGGCCCCUUUGGGGGUACUCGAGUGGCGAACGGGUGAGUAACACGUGAGUAACCUGCCCUUGACUUCGGGAUAACUUCAGGAAACUGGGGCUAAUACCGGAUAGGAAUCCUUGCUGCAUGGUGGGGGUUGGAAAGCUUCGGCGGUUUUGGAUGGACUCGCGGCUUAUCAGCUUGUUGGUGGGGUAGUGGCUUACCAAGGCUUUGACGGGUAGCCGGCCUGAGAGGGCGACCGGCCACAGUGGGACGGAGAUACGGCCCAGCCUCCUGGGGGGGGAAGAGGGGGGGAAUUUUGCAAAAGGGGGGGAAGUCUGAGGCAGCAACGCGGGGGGGGGGAUGGCGGCCUUGGGGUUGUAACCCGCUUUCAGCGGGGGGGAGGCUGGGGGGGAGGGUACCGGAAGAAGAAGCACCGCCUAACUACGUG